Molecule: microRNA precursor, 84 nt
Filed under: Bombyx mori (domestic silkworm)
Lineage: Eukaryota; Metazoa; Arthropoda; Insecta; Lepidoptera; Bombycidae
Description: mir-2807 microRNA precursor family
Rfam family: mir-2807 microRNA precursor family
Source: Rfam by way of RNAcentral
CUAACUAAAAUUUGUAUGAAAUUGGAACGUUUGCCUACGUUUGCCGCUAGGGGCGCUGUACCAACUGUAUACAAAUUUGAGUUA